CGUUGAAACAUCGGUUUCGAUACGAUCACCGAAGUUAAGCAACGUCGAGCCUGGUCAGUACCUAGAUGGGUGACCGCUUGGGAAUACCAGGUGCUGUAA
RNAcentral lists this ribosomal RNA (99 nucleotides) under Acanthosepion pharaonis. The record is from RNAcentral. Lineage: Eukaryota; Metazoa; Mollusca; Cephalopoda; Sepiida; Sepiidae.